Molecule: long non-coding RNA, 4492 nt
Filed under: Capsella grandiflora
Lineage: Eukaryota; Viridiplantae; Streptophyta; Magnoliopsida; Brassicales; Brassicaceae
Description: long non-coding RNA (CGRA_LNC001131)
Source: RNAcentral
AAGAGGAGGAGGAGGUUUCCGAGUUGCAAAAUUCUGCAAAAACUCUCAAGAUGUAAACUUACUGCAAGAUUAUAUAAAACCAUCAUUCCAAAUCUUGUUUGGUCUCAUUGAUUCUGUGAACAACUUACUUCAUUACAAACUAGUUUAUGUUUAAUUUUGAUCAGAGACAAACGUACAAUGAAAACCAUCAUUCCAAAUCUUUAUAAGCAAGUUAAAGAAAGGCGAUGAGAGACCAAGAUCGCAGGUUUACUUGCACUGGUUGUUGGUUAAAGCUUUGGUUACACAAUGCGAAACGAUUCCAACCGGGCAGAAGAGAAGGCAAAGCGAAACAGAAUGCCUUGUUUCGAUCUGGUUCAGUAAACCAUCAUUAUAAACUUGCCUACAAGAGAAAACCCAAAACACGCGUUAUUAAGAAACAUGUUCGGAUAAAUUCAGAACCCGGUGAGAAGAAGAAGAAGCCCGGAUAUAUAUACCUGGCAGCGAAAAGAUCGACAACAAGAAGAUGAAUCCACGCAGAAGCAAGAGUCAUUUCACUUGAGAACAUUUUCGCUAUCCCCGACAACUGCAGAUGAAAUUAAACUUUAGAGAUUGCAAUGAUACAUUAUCAUAGACAUUCUUGUUUUUCACAAAUUUCAGGAAAGCGGAUAAACCUCUGGCAACAUGUAUUUACUAGAAAACAUGUAUUUGAGCGUCUCGGGUGUCCAAGAAAGGUAUAACAAAUACGCGUAUAACACGCCUAAGACGAUAUACGGUAAGCUACUCUCCAUACACUUCUUGGUCUGCACAAAGAAACUCAAUUUAGAUCCAAAUUCCUUUGAGUCUGCACAAGAAAUUGCAAAACUUGCAACAAAAAACAUAAUCUUACAAUCUCAGCUUUUGGAGCUACAACCAUAAGAGUGUAAAAGGGAAGAACUGCGGUAGUUCCAACUGCAAACACACUGCUUGCAAUCUGAGAUGUAGCCAACACUGCAACAUAAACAUAUCAGAGAUCAAAACCACAAAAAUGAGUGACAAAGUUUCAAGCUUUAAGUUCAAUGAAAGUGCAGAGAGAGACACAUUACAUGAAGCUUGUACGCCAGAGACUUUCUUGUAAACUACAGAGCAAGAAUUCGAUGAAACAUUGGGGUGAAGCGAGAUUCUUGAUCCUCCAACGAAGCUCCAAGGAUUAUCUAAUCUAAUUCUUGAAGAAUCAAGAAAAAGUUCCGAUCUUUUAACAGUAAAGUUGCGUUUCAUCAUCUGAAAUCAACCAAAAAAGAACGAACUUUUUUUACUUCAUCUCUUAAAAAUUCAGAAACUUUCAUAUAGAAACAGAGGCUCUCUAAAACAGGUGACCCACGGAGAAGUCAAUUCAAUGAUAUAUAAAAAAAACAUUCUGGGUCAAUUCAAAACCCAUUAAAUUCUCCAAAUUGAGUCAAAAGGUAAAGACUUUAAGGUUAUCUAUAACUAUAGUAAGAACCUCAACACAGAAUCUAAACCGACAAAAGAUUCACAAACACAGUAUAAGUGAAAUCUGGAGAUAAAAGAAGAGUACCGAGAGAGAUGAAGAAGAGAAAGGCUGAGAAAUGAGAGAAGUAAAAACCAUCUUUGAUUCAAAACUUCAAUACCCUUUGCCAAAAACUGAUCCUUCAUUACCUAACUUAACCAAACUCUCUCCAUAUAUAGAUGGAACACUGAGUAAUGAUGGUUUGAGAGGUGUUGUUUCCACUGAAUACGGAAGUGGAAGGGUGAAAGAAAAAAGUUGUCUUUCACUCUUUCUUCCUCAGUGUGUCCACAAUUAUAUGCAACACGUUUUUUUUUUGCUCAUACAGUCCUCCUCUUUAAAAAGUUUUCAUCUUUUACGAUAACUUUUCCUUUUUAAUAUAAUUUAGACAUUUUUUUUGACAUCGUAUAAUUUACACUUAUUUUUUUAGUAUAAAAGUUAAUAAUUCCUUUCGAUUUCAUCUUAAAGUUUUAAACUACAUUUUUUUAAAAAAAAAUAUUGGUUUACUUCAAUGAAAGAUAUCAUUUAGUACUUUAGUAUAUAAGUAUAUUAACGUAUAAUAUGUUUUAGUGAAUCAUCGUUAUAUAUAUAGAAUUCAACAUGUUGAUCGACAUUUAUUUAUAUGUAUUGGCUUUGAUUGGUAACACAAUUAAAAGUGGUUGGAGAUUCAAUCAUUCCUUAACUUAGUUACUAAUUAGAUGAACCAUCGAAAUAAACGUAUGAAACGAAUAGUAGAAGGUAUGGUUAAAAAGAUGGUAAAAACUUAAAUGAGGCGGUUGCCAACUGCUCAAAUGAGGCGGUUGCCAACCGCGUCGUUUAUAUGAUGUUGCCAAUAUGAGCCAUUAUGUGAAAGGGAGAUGGAAGUGAAAGUGAAUUUAGGUGGACAAGAGACAAGUCUAGUUUCAGAAAAAGACAAAGGUUGGUGUUGCUCCCAUUAAUUUUGUAAAACAAGAAAAAGAUAGAGAUAUAGUUAAUGGCUAAUAAUCUAAAUAUAUAACUCACUGCUUGAGAAAGUGGAUGAAGUAAGAUAACUUGGGUGGGCUAUUUGGUAUAUAACUUAAAAUUUAAUUAAUGGGCCUUUUGAUCCACCCAUUUUGUUUUUCUUUUGUAACUCCCACUUACACUGUUCAGUCAACAAAUAAAAACAAAUUUGUGGUAUCUUUCAAUCUUGUUGUGGGAUUUUCGCAUUUCGAUGUAUUCGAUGGUGGCCAAAACUAAGAUUAAAUGGUAAAAAGAUUUUUUCCUUAAUUUUUAAAAAGAUUUGAUUAUAUUUUCUGAUUUGAAAACUUUUACUAUAUCUAUAACUUCAAAAAACCGCAAAUUCUUACAAGCCUCAUAUAUCUUAUCCUAUUCCGACAAGUACCUAAACAACAUUACUACAAAUUAUACAUUUCACACUAUAGAGUUCAAAUAUGUGAACUUGGGCCAAGUCAUUUGAUUGAGGAAAUAUAUAAUAUGAUCCACAAGAUCCUUGAAUAUACUCUUGAGUAAAAAAACAAAAGAAUAUUCGAGACCUCUUAUCAAGAAUCCUAUCCUAAAGAAAGCACAUCCACUUAUGUUUCCAUCACUAGAUUUCAAGUGGGUCAUCAUCAUCUUUUACUUCAAGAUAUUGUUUAGUCUAAACCUCUCAAACCUCCUUAAUCGUGUGAUCUAAUCUAUCUUAUGUGUUUCUUCAACUUGUAAAUUUUCAUAUUUGUUGAGUCACAUUGUCCUAUUUUCUUUAAUGUUCAUAUGCAAUUCAAAUUUCAAGAGAUAUUAUAGAACAUUACAUAUUUAUUUCAUCAGAUAGUUGAGAAUCCGAUAGAAAAUGUCUCGCAAACCGGAAAACAAACGUUAAAUCCGGAAAUUAAAACUUUAGAUAAAAAUUAAAAAGAAAAAAGGAAAAAGCAGAAAUUGAUAUAAAAUCAAAGGUGGAGGAGGGGAUGAGAUAAAGUUUUUGAUAUGUUUUACAAGAAACAAAGCAAAGCAAAGAGAGAGAUUAAGCAUCGGUGAAGCGAGGGGGCUUGUAGGCAAUGAAACUGAUGCACUGCACUUGACGGGUGUUGUCGAAUCCGAUGAUCCUGAUGAAGGCUUCAGGGUACUCCUUCUUGCACUCGUUAACUUCCUUCAACACUUGUGCUGAGUCAGUGCAUCCGAACAAGGGUAGCUUCCACAUUGUCCAGUACCUUCCAUCGUAGUAUCCGGGGGUGUUACCGUGCUCACGGUGCACAAACCCGUUCUAUAAUAUAAAAAAAAACCAAACCACACAUGUUACGACCACAACAACAACAACAACAACAAAAGUCCAAGAUCUAAGCUAGUUUAUGUUUUUUUCUUACCUCCAACUCGAAUUCAACACAGGGAAUCCACUUGUUGCGGAGGAGGUAGUCAACUUCCUUUCCCAACUCGACCUCGGAAAGGUCAGGAAGGUAAGAGAGAGUCUCGAACUUCUUCUUUCCGAUCGGAGGCCACACCUUUGAGAUUCAGACAAAACAACAUAUGAGUUCAUGUAAUUCGAACGAAAAAAGAAGAAGAAGAAAAAAGAUGUAUGACCUUCAUGCAGCUAACUCUUCCGCCGUUGCUUGUGAUGGAAGUAAUGUCGUUGUUGGCCUUGCGGGUGGAAGGGAAAGCAGCGGAGGACUUAAGUCCGGUGAAAGGAGCGACCAUAGUGGCCUGAGCCGGGGAGGCAACCAUUGUAGCGGAAGAGAGCAUAGAGGAAGCCAUUGUGUUCUUUCUCUUUUACUCUUUUGUGUGACUGAGGUUCUGUCUAGUGCUUUGGUCAUCUAUAUAUAAUGAUAAUAACAAUGAUAACAAUCACUUGAGUGAUCGUAGGGUCGAGGAAUCAUGAGGCUUGAGUGGGAAAGGAUUUAGACCGUUGGAUGAUGAGUGUGUGGAUAUGUGUGUGUGUGUGAGGUUUUAAGUCACUUGGUAACGGCCACAGAAGCCUAAGGUAAGGUCCUGAGAGACCCUUAUCGGUUUGUAACGCUAGAACAGUGCCACGUGGAAGAUAAAUCUUAUCGUUAUCUAUGAGUG